Molecule: ribosomal RNA, 1788 nt
Filed under: Meloidogyne enterolobii
Lineage: Eukaryota; Metazoa; Nematoda; Chromadorea; Rhabditida; Meloidogynidae
Description: SSU rRNA
Rfam family: Eukaryotic small subunit ribosomal RNA
Source: RNAcentral
UAUCUGGUUGAUCCUGCCUGAACUGAUGUGUUCAUUUCAAAGAUUAAGCCAUGCAUGUAUAAGUUUAAUCGUUUUAACGAGAAACCGCGAACGGCUCAUUACAAUGGCCAUGAUUUACUUGAUCUUGAUUAUCUAAAUGGAUAACUGUGGAAAAGCUAGAGCUAAUACAUGCACCAGAGCUUUGUCCUCUCGGAAAAGCGCAUUUAUUAGAACAAAACCACGCGGCUUCGGCUGCUUCUUGUUGACUCAGAAUAACUAAGCUGACCGCAUGGCCUUGUGCCGGCGGCGUGUCUUUCAAGCGUCCACUUUAUCAACUUGACGGGAGCAUAAUCGACUCCCGUGGUGGUGACGGAUAACGGAGGAUCAGGGUUCGACUCCGGAGAAGGGGCCUGAGAAAUGGCCACUACGUCUAAGGAUGGCAGCAGGCGCGCAAAUUACCCACUCUCGGCUCGAGGAGGUAGUGACGAGAAAUAACGAGACUGUUCUCUUUGAGGCCGGUCAUCGGAAUGGGUACAAUUUAAACCCUUUAACGAGUAUCAAGCAGAGGGCAAGUCUGGUGCCAGCAGCCGCGGUAAUUCCAGCUCUGCUAAUACAUAGAAUUAUUGCUGCGGUUAAAAAGCUCGUAGUUGGAUUCGUAUCGGUACCUUGGAACCCUUCGGGUGUUUCUGGGUGUUAUCGAUUUAUCGUAAUGUUCGGUUUUGAGUCCUUAACAGGAUUCUUAACAGGCAUUGCAAGUUUACUUUGAACAAAUCAGAGUGCUUCAAACAGGCGUUUUCGCUUGAAUGAUCGUGCAUGGAAUAAUAGAAAACGAUUUCGGUUCAGUUUUAUUGGUUUUACGGACUGAGAUAAUGGUUAACAGAGACAAACGGGGGCAUUUGUAUGGCCCCGUGAGAGGUGAAAUUCUUGGACCGUGGCCAGACAAACUACAGCGAAAGCAUUUGCCAAGAAUGUCUUCAUUAAUCAAGAACGAAAGUCAGAGGUUCGAAGGCGAUCAGAUACCGCCCUAGUUCUGACCGUAAACGAUGCCAACUAGCGAUCCGCCGAUGGAAAUUAUAUUGCCUUGGUGGGGAGCUUCCCGGAAACGAAAGUCUUCCGGUUCCGGGGGAAGUAUGGUUGCAAAGCUGAAACUUAAAGGAAUUGACGGAAGGGCACCACCAGGAGUGGAGCCUGCGGCUUAAUUUGACUCAACACGGGGAAACUCACCCGGCCCGGACACUGUGAGGAUUGACAGAUUGAUAGCUUUUUCAUGAUUCAGUGGAUGGUGGUGCAUGGCCGUUCUUAGUUCGUGGAGUGAUUUGUCUGGUUUAUUCCGAUAACGAGCGAGACUCUAACCUACUAAAUAGCUGGUACAUACUCUUAGUGUAUACAGCUUCUUAGAGGGAUUUGCGGUGUUCAGCCGAAAGAAAUUGAGCAAUAACAGGUCUGUGAUGCCCUUAGAUGUCCGGGGCUGCACGCGCGCUACACUGGCAAAAUCAACGUGCUUGUCCUACCCCGAAAGGGGCGGGUAAACCAUUGAAAAUUUGCCGUGAUUGGGAUCGGAAAUUGCAAUUAUUUUCCGUGAACGAGGAAUUCCAAGUAAGUGCGAGUCAUCAGCUCGCGUUGAUUACGUCCCUGCCCUUUGUACACACCGCCCGUCGCUGCCCGGGACUGAGCCAUUUCGAGAAAUUUGGGGACCGUUGAUUUAAUUUUUCUAAAUUACUUUGAUGGAAACCAAUUUAAUCGCAGUGGCUUGAACCGGGCAAAAGUCGUAACAAGGUAGCUGUAGGUGAACCUGCUGCUGGAUCAUUA